RNAcentral lists this ribosomal RNA (468 nucleotides) under uncultured bacterium. RNAcentral describes it as "partial 16S ribosomal RNA". It matches the Rfam family "Bacterial small subunit ribosomal RNA", at positions 28 to 507 of the family's 1533-position model. The record is from RNAcentral.
GACGAACGCUGGCGGCGUGCUUAACACAUGCAAGUCGAACGGAAAGGCCCUGCUUUUGUGGGGUGCUCGAGUGGCGAACGGGUGAGUAACACGUGAGUAACCUGCCCUUGACUUUGGGAUAACUUCAGGAAACUGGGGCUAAUACCGGAUAGGAGCUCCUGCUGCAUGGUGGGGGUUGGAAAGUUUCGGCGGUUGGGGAUGGACUCGCGGCUUAUCAGCUUGUUGGUGGGGUAGUGGCUUACCAAGGCUUUGACGGGUAGCCGGCCUGAGAGGGUGACCGGCCACCUUGGGACUGAGAUACGGCCCAGACUCCUACGGGAGGCAGCAGUGGGGAAUAUUGCACAAUGGGCGGAAGCCUGAUGCAGCAACGCCACGUGCGGGAUGACGGCCUUCGGGCUGUAAACCGCUUUCGCCUGUGACGAAGCGUGAGUGACGGUAAUGGGUAAAGAAGCACCGGCUAACUACGUG